This is a non-coding RNA of Potamilus streckersoni, 84 nucleotides long. The record is from the annotation of a GenBank genome assembly. Lineage: Eukaryota; Metazoa; Mollusca; Bivalvia; Unionida; Unionidae.
AGCUCUGUUGGCCUAGUGGUUAGUGCAUCCGCCUCGGAUACGGAGGUCGUGGGUUCCAUUCCCUGUUGAGUCAUACCUGAGUUA